UACGUAGGGUCCGAGCGUUGUCCGGAAUUAUUGGGCGUAAAGGGCUCGUAGGCGGUCCGUCACGUCGGGAGUGAAAACUCAGGGCUCAACCCUGAGCGUGCUUCGGAUACGGGCGGACUAGAGGUAUGCAGGGGAGAACGGAAUUCCUGGUGUAGCGGUGGAAUGCGCAGAUAUCAGGAGGAACACCGGUGGCGAAGGCGGUGCUCUGGGCAUUACCUGACGCUGAGGAGCGAAAGCAUGGGGAGCGAACAGG
This 253-nucleotide ribosomal RNA is filed under the name uncultured bacterium. RNAcentral's name for it is "partial 16S ribosomal RNA". It matches the Rfam family "Bacterial small subunit ribosomal RNA", at positions 524 to 776 of the family's 1533-position model. The record is from RNAcentral.